CGGCGUAGCUCAGCUGGUAGAGCGGAGGACUGAAAAUCCUUAUGUCAACAGUUCGAUUCUGUUCGCUG
Molecule: transfer RNA, 68 nt
Filed under: uncultured Treponema sp.
Lineage: Bacteria; Pseudomonadati; Spirochaetota; Spirochaetia; Treponematales; Treponemataceae
Rfam family: tRNA
About the family: Transfer RNA (tRNA) molecules are approximately 80 nucleotides in length. Their secondary structure includes four short double-helical elements and three loops (D, anti-codon, and T loops).
Source: RNAcentral